ACGUGUACUUCACUCGGCGGCGGCGUGAUUGUGCUUCGUGAAGAUAUACGUGCAAGUUAGCUUGAAGACUUCUGUGAAGAUCUGUGCAUGUGAUUGCUGGUGCAUCCGCUUGCAUGGUGUGCUGUGCUAUUUUCCAACAGUUCUUUUCAGAGCUAACAAUCUUGUUUCGCGAACAUUAAAACAGCUCUUUUCAGAGCUAUGUGCUUUCUGUUUCAC
Molecule: unclassified non-coding RNA, 216 nt
Filed under: Melitaea cinxia (Glanville fritillary)
Lineage: Eukaryota; Metazoa; Arthropoda; Insecta; Lepidoptera; Nymphalidae
Description: misc RNA ENSMCXG00005008808.1
Source: RNAcentral